RNAcentral lists this ribosomal RNA (818 nucleotides) under uncultured Leuconostoc sp. RNAcentral's name for it is "bacterial SSU rRNA". It matches the Rfam family "Bacterial small subunit ribosomal RNA", at positions 28 to 828 of the family's 1533-position model. The record is from RNAcentral. Lineage: Bacteria; Bacillati; Bacillota; Bacilli; Lactobacillales; Lactobacillaceae.
GAUGAACGCUGGCGGCGUGCCUAAUACAUGCAAGUCGAACGCACAGCGAAAGGUGCUUGCACCUUUCAAGUGAGUGGCGAACGGGUGAGUAACACGUGGAUAACCUACCUCAAGGUUGGGGAUAACAUUUGGAAACAGAUGCUAAUACCGAAUAAAACUUCGUAUCGCAUGAUACAAGGUUAAAAGGCGCUACGGCGUCACCUAGAGAUGGAUCCGCGGUGCAUUAGUUAGUUGGUGGGGUAAAGGCCUACCAAGACAAUGAUGCAUAGCCGAGUUGAGAGACUGAUCGGCCACAUUGGGACUGAGACACGGCCCAAACUCCUACGGGAGGCUGCAGCAGGGAAUCUUCCACAAUGGGCGAAAGCCUGAUGGAGCAACGCCGCGUGUGUGAUGAAGGCUUUCGGGUCGUAAAGCACUGUUGUAUGGGAAGAACAGCUAGAGUAGGGAAUGACUUUAGUUUGACGGUACCAUACCAGAAAGGGACGGCUAAAUACGUGCCAGCAGCCGCGGUAAUACGUAUGUCCCGAGCGUUAUCCGGAUUUAUUGGGCGUAAAGCGAGCGCAGACGGUUGAUUAAGUCUGAUGUGAAAGCCCGGAGCUCAACUCCGGAAAGGCAUUGGAAACUGGUCAACUUGAGUGCAGUAGAGGUAAGUGGAACUCCAUGUGUAGCGGUGGAAUGCGUAGAUAUAUGGAAGAACACCAGCGGCGAAGGCGGCUUACUGGACUGUAACUGACGUUGAGGCUCGAAAGUGUGGGUAGCAAACAGGAUUAGAUACCCUGGUAGUCCACACCGUAAACGAUGAACACUAGGUGUUAGGA